CCUACGGGAGGCAGCAGUAGGGAAUAUUGCUCAAUGGGCGAAACCCUGAAGCAGCAACGCCGCGUGGAGGAUGAAGGUUUUAGGAUUGUAAACUCCUUUUGUGAGAGAAGAGAAUGACGGGAUGUCACUUUUAUCCACCGGCUAACUCCGCGCCAGCAGCCGCGGGAUAACGGAGGGUGCGAGCGUUAUGCGGAUUGACUGGGCGUAAAGGGUGCGCAGGCGGGUUUGUAAGUCAGAUGUGAAAUCCUCUGGCUCAACUCCAGAACUGCAUUUGAAACUGUGAGUCUUGAGUGUAGGAGAGGUAAGUGGAAUUCUUGGUGUAGCGGUGAAAUGCGUAGAUAUCAGGAAGAACACCAAUGGCGAAGGCGGCCUACUGGACGAUAACUGACGCUGAUGCACGAAAGCGUGGGGAGCAAACAGGAUUAGAUACCCUAGUAGUC
Molecule: ribosomal RNA, 440 nt
Filed under: uncultured bacterium
Lineage: Bacteria
Description: partial 16S ribosomal RNA
Rfam family: Bacterial small subunit ribosomal RNA
Source: RNAcentral